CCAAUAGCGUAUAUUAAAGUUGUUGCAGUUAAAAAGCUCGUAGUUGAAUUUCGGGAUCAGUACGCUGGUCGUGCCUUCGGUAUGAACUGGUGUCACUGGUUUCUCCCUUCUGAAGAACCGUCAUGCCAUUCAGUUGGUGUGGCGGGGAAUCAGGACUGUUACUUUGAAAAAAUUAGAGUGUUUAAAGCAGGCUCGCGCUUGAAUACAUUAGCAUGGAAUAAUGAAAUAGGACGUUUGACCCUAUUUUGUUGGUUUCUAGGAUCGACGUAAUGAUUAAUAGGGAUAGUUGGGGGCAUUAGUAUUCAAUUGUCAGAGGUGAAAUUCUUGGAUUUAUUGAAGACUAACUACUGCGAAAGCAUUUGCCAAGGAUGUUUUCAUUAAUCAAGAACGAAAGUUAGGGGAUCGAAGACGAUCAGAUACCGUCGUAGUCUUAACCAUAAACUAUGCCGACUAGGGAUCGGAUGAUGUUAAUUUUUUAAUGACUCAUUCGGCGCCUUACG
RNAcentral lists this ribosomal RNA (500 nucleotides) under uncultured Glomeromycotina. Its description in RNAcentral is "partial small subunit ribosomal RNA". It matches the Rfam family "Eukaryotic small subunit ribosomal RNA", at positions 591 to 1092 of the family's 1831-position model. The record is from RNAcentral. Lineage: Eukaryota; Fungi; Glomeromycota.